GACGAACGCUGGCGGCGUACUUAACACAUGCAAGUCGAACGGAAAGGCCCUGCUUUUGUGGGGUGCUCGAGUGGCGAACGGGUGAGUAACACGUGAGUAACCAGCCCUUGACUUUGGGAUAACUUCAGGAAACUGGGGCUAAUACCGGAUAGGAGCUCCUGCUGCAUGGUGGGGGUUGGAAAGUUUCGGCGGUUGGGGAUGGACUCGCGGCUUAUCAGCUUGUUGGUGGGGUAGUGGCUUACCAAGGCUUUGACGGGUAGCCGGCCUGAGAGGGUGACCGGCCACAUUGGGACUGAGAUACGGCCCAGACUCCUACGGGAGGCAGCAGUGGGGAAUAUUGCACAAUGGGCGGAAGCCUGAUGCAGCAACGCCGCGUGCGGGAUGACGGCCUUCGGGUUGUAAACCGCUUUCGCCUGUGACGAAGCGUGAGUGACGGUAAUGGGUAAAGAAGCACCGGCUAACUACGUG
RNAcentral lists this ribosomal RNA (468 nucleotides) under uncultured bacterium. RNAcentral describes it as "partial 16S ribosomal RNA". It matches the Rfam family "Bacterial small subunit ribosomal RNA", at positions 28 to 507 of the family's 1533-position model. The record is from RNAcentral.